RNAcentral lists this small RNA (276 nucleotides) under Oryza sativa Japonica Group (Japanese rice). RNAcentral describes it as "sRNA Os03g0223550". Lineage: Eukaryota; Viridiplantae; Streptophyta; Magnoliopsida; Poales; Poaceae. The record is from RNAcentral.
CUCCUCUCUCUCUCUCUCCUCUCACUGUCAACUACGCAAGCGGCGGACAGAGGAGGCGAGGCGAGGCAGCGACGGCUGAGGAGGCGGCGGCGGCGGCUAGGCGAGCGGCGGCUAGGCGAGCGGCAGCUAGGUGGCGAGCGGCGGCGGCUCGAGGCGUGCGACCGGCGGUGAUGGGUGGACGCGGAGGCGGACUAGGCGGCUAGCGGCGGAGGCACCCUGGCGGAGCUCUCUCGGACGGCCGAUGACAGAGGCGGAGGCGGAGGCGGAGCGUGCGUC